Molecule: long non-coding RNA, 1525 nt
Filed under: Homo sapiens (human)
Lineage: Eukaryota; Metazoa; Chordata; Mammalia; Primates; Hominidae
Description: HSALNT0389540
Source: RNAcentral
CUGGAAUGCAGUGGCGCGAUCUUGGCUCACUGCAACCUCUGACUCUCUGGUUCAGGUGAUUCUCUUGCCUCAGCCUCCCAAGUAGCUGGGAUUACAGGCACGUGCCACCACACCCAGAUAAUUUUUGUAUCUUUUUUUUUUAGUGGAGACAGGGUUUCACCAUGUUGGUGCGGAUGGUCUUGAUCUCCUGACCUCGUGAUCCUCCCGCCUCAGCCUCCCAAAGUGCUGGGAUUACAGGUGUGAGCCACCGCACCCGGCACAAUGUGAUUUUUUAAACUGGAAGGUACUAUAUAGGUGGGUGGGAUCACUGCUUUGUCAGUCCUGUUGCAGGGAUGGGAUGGGGGCAGGGCAGCCAGAUGAGAUUCUAGAAAAAAAAUAGAACCCCUUCCUCCCAAUCCCCACAUAUUUAUACAGUCCUCUGCAGUUUACAAUGCACUUUCACACUCUGUAUUUCUUGUUCCUUACAACAACUUUGCAAGCCAGGUCAAGGCAGGCAUUAUUAAAUCCCAUGUUUUAGGGGAAGAAGAAGCUCAAAGAGGAUAAAUGACUUGCCGAGGGUUAGUGAGCCCAGUUAGUGGGUGAGCUAAGGCUGGAAUUUGGUUCUUUCUGAUACCCAGGCCUGAUGCUGUUUCCCUGCUUCUACACACCAGAGCCCCUCUGUCCCUGCUCUGGUCUGGAUGACAUUGCUCCCACCCCCCUGGGGCUCCCAUCCCAUAAUGGAUGCAGUACCUUCCCCAGUCCACGUACCUUCAUUAUGACAACUCAUGACCACUUUUGGUUACAAUAAUGUCCGAAAGUAGCCAUGAGAACAGAGAGAGCACUGUAGGUUUAAGAGUGUUCAAUGGAAAGAGGAGACCAAGCUGAGAUUUCCCAAGGGCUCUCACCCAAAAUUGGUAGGCCAGCUGAUAAAUUAGUAUGAUAAGGAGAGAAGGAGAAAACUGAAGAGAGGGGAAGGAAAGAGAAGAAAAGGCAAUAAAGAAAGAGAUAAAAAGAAAGAAAGGAAGAAAGAAAGAAAAGAAGGAAAGAAAGAGGAAAGAAGGAAGGGAAAGAAAGAAAAGGAGAAAGAAAUGGAAGUUGGGUGAAGAGCAUGAUGAGGGAGUAAGGGAAAGGCGAAAAUAAAAAAGAGUGGGAGUAAGACAGAAAGGAAUCCAGGAGAGAUAAGGAAAGAGAGAAAAGGGGAAGGAGGGAGGCCAAAGAGGCUGGGGAGGGUGCUGGGGGGAGGGCCAGCUCCACUCUGGCAAGGGGUGCGAGAUUGAAGGCUGAAUCGCAGCAGGCAGUGAAGGAGAGGAAUAAGUCAUAAACGCUGCAGGGGCAAAGGUCAAAUAUAGACUGAUGGCUCCAUUGUUUCCCAGCCGGUGAGGAGGACCCUGUUGGGGGCUGCUGAGAUGCUUAACCCUUCCCUGCCCAGCCCUUUGAUGGUGAGGCAGGUGUGGGAAUGCACAGUGAGAAAAGCACCUGUGUGUCCAGGAGAUUUCCUAGGGAAGAAGGAAGUUCUUGGGAAAUGAUUGAGUAACACCUAUCAACA